CCCAGUGUGGUGUAGUGGUUUAAGCAUUGGACUUGGACUCUGAAGAGCAGGGUUUGAAUCCCUGCUCUGCCA
Molecule: transfer RNA, 72 nt
Filed under: Phrynosoma platyrhinos (Desert horned lizard)
Lineage: Eukaryota; Metazoa; Chordata; Lepidosauria; Squamata; Phrynosomatidae
Description: tRNA-OTHER
Rfam family: tRNA (bases 9-72)
About the family: Transfer RNA (tRNA) molecules are approximately 80 nucleotides in length.
Source: RNAcentral